AGUUAUCUCCCACCAGGUUCCUCCCUCCCACAACACGUGGGAAUUAUGGGAGUAAAAUUCAAGAGGAGACUUGGGUAGGGACACACAGCCAAACCAUAUCACUACCCAUCCAUCCAUCCAUUCAUUUAUUCCUUCACUAAACGCCUGUUGAACACCUUUUAUGUGCCAACCACUGUCAGUUAGUGGAGGCACAGACAAGAGUGAGAGGUGAGCUCAGUUGAUGGUAUUUAGGUGGGUCUAUUUCUGGGCUCUCUAUGCUUCUCCAUUGACCUAUUUGUUUAUUUUUUUCUCUUUUUUUUGCCAAAGACUUUCUUAAUCUUUAACAAUGUAAUUCCAGUGAGAGAAAAAGAAGUUUCAGAAGUAAUAUUACCAAAUCAUGGGGAAUUGUGGGGGUGGUGAGUGAGUUCAGGAGAGAUACAGAGAGAGAGAGAGAGAGAGAGAGAGAGAGAGAGAGAGAGAAAAUGAAGGCCAUACAAGGUAAAGUGUUGAAUGUUACGUGCUCUGUUGACUGUGGGCCCCAGGAUGUGUAUGAUGGAACUUACUGAAACAGAAUUUGCACAUUUAUAGAAAGGAUGCAGUUUUAGAAAAUAGCUAGUUAUGCUAGCGUCUUGUUUCUUCAUUGAUGCUGCAAUGUUAUAUAAGCACUGAAUCCUCCCACAUUUCCAGCUCUUAUCUAAAAGCUAGAGUGUGUACCACCUGGGUUGAGAGGAAGAUGAAAUGAAAUUGGGGAAGUGGGGAAGUAAAUGGUGAAAAGCAUCCUGAAAGAAACCAACUAGAUAUGUUCAACAAUUCUACCACCUUUGUUGACCUCUUCUUCUUCCCCGACUUACUGUUGUAGAGGCUACCUGAGCUCAUUGUCCCUGGAGAUGGACCAAAUAGAAAAACAAGCAGUGCCUGUGUGGUGAGUUUCAAGAGGCAUCUGUUCUCUGGGGAGUGGGUGGGUGGUAAAGCAAAGUUGGCAGAUGUGCAUAUUAGCUAUCCAUUACUGUAUAAUUAAUUAUACACAAAACUAAACUAUACACUAAACUAAAACUUCACAGCUUAGAACAGCAAGUAUGUAUUAUCUCACACAAUUUCUGAGAGUUAGGAACCUGAAAAUGGCUUAGCUAGUUUGGUUCUGGCUCAGGGUGCCCUAUGGAGUUGCAGCCAAGAUGUCAUCUGGGACUACUAUCAUUUGAAGGCUCAGCUGGGGCUGGAGGCUUCACUUCCAAGAUGGCUCACUUAUAGGGCUAUUGGUGGGAGGCUUCAGUUCCUCUCCACGUGGAACUUUCCUCAUGGCAUGGAACUGGCUUCCCUCAGAGUGAAAGACCAAGAGAGACACUAAGACAGAAGAUGCAAUGUUUUUAUGACCUAGUCUUGGAAGUGACAUACUGUCAUUUCUACCAUAUUUAUUCAUUAGAAGCAAGUCAUUAAGUCCAGCCCACACUCAGAGUGAGAGGAUUUAAGCUGAACCUCUUGAAGAAAUGGUAUCAAAGUAUUUAUGGACAUUUAAAAAACCACCACAAUACAUAUAGGUGAACUUCACAAGGUGCAGACAUGGGCUGAGACAGAAUAUUGGAUAAUAUCUCAUUCUGCUAACAGCAGUCUCAUCUGUAAUAAAAUUCCAGCAUUCAGCAAUUAUCACAAUCAAGUAGGAAAAGGGCUUGUUGGCAAAAACUUAUCAAAGAUGUUACUUCAUUUAUCCAUUUAUUCUGAGCCACAGCAUAAUAGCAACAAAUUGUGUGUCCUGUGUAAUUUGGGUACCUCUGCUCAAUAAUAGCUGAACAGAUUUUAUCCUAUUUUUAGAAUGGUUAAUAUAUACACAUGGCACAAAAUUUAAAAGGUAUAAAAGUUUCUGGUUCAAAAAUAAGAUUCCCUCCUUUUCUUUUUUUCUGAUUCUUUGAAUGCAAUCAGAUUUACUGAUUUCUCAUGUAAUCUUCCAUGUAUAGCCUAUGCUGUACAUGUAGGUACACAUAUUUUUUCUUUCCCACAGAUAAAAUACUGUACGCAUUGUUUUA
Macaca mulatta (Rhesus monkey) is the source of this 1997-nucleotide non-coding RNA. The record is from RefSeq and is a predicted model, not a curated record. NCBI's taxonomy places the organism in Eukaryota, Metazoa, Chordata, Mammalia, Primates, Cercopithecidae.